This 1481-nucleotide long non-coding RNA is filed under the name Chrysemys picta bellii (western painted turtle). Its description in RNAcentral is "lncRNA (ENSCPBG00000002198.1)". The record is from RNAcentral. Lineage: Eukaryota; Metazoa; Chordata; Testudines; Emydidae.
GAGUUAACUGAACUCUACCUCUUGGGCCAAGGGUUGUGUGUCAGAUUUGAUUUUAACUUAAAUGGUUCCCUCAUCCCUUUUAUUAGCAUCUAAUUGGAUUAGCAUAUACUUUUCUGGAAAACGUGCCCUCCCACGCUGCAUUAAUAUGCGUCAAGUAUGUAAUUCCAACUGUGUAAGAAGUAAAGGAGAGAUUGAGGCUUUAUUGAGGCCUCACAGUCAUUGUCCAGUGCAGUGGUGUACUUGUGUCUUUCAGCAGUGGCAGAUACCAGGAAGUGAAUCAGCUGGAGCUGUCCAAGGUACAGACCAUGUGCGAUUUCAGAAAAGAUGCAAUCAAAAUCUGCUCUUUGAAGUCCCUGGAUUGUUGUAUCUCUGGGUUUGCUGCUCCCAGUAUCAAACCCAGACCGGUACACCUACCAUUGAACUGCAUGGACCAACAGCUGCUACUGCAUGACAAAGGGAUGAAAAUGCUGUACCUAUCAUUGGCGAUAUUGACAGAGUAUGUUUCCAGUGCUUCAGGACUGAUGUUUCCUAGACCUGAAACAGCGGCAUUAGAAAACCUGUUCACCACUGACCAUGGAGCAGCAAGACAAACUGCAGAGUGUGCUGCUGAAAACCACAACUACCGCUUUAAGUAAUAAGGACAUGAGGUUUUGGAAGAGAAUUGUGAUGACAUAGCAUUUUUCCUUCAAGAAAUGUUACAUAAGAAGCUAAUUUUGGUUUCCUUAGCUGAUUUUAUUUGUUUAUAAUGAAAGCCAUCCUAAAUGCAGUCAGUUCUGAUUAGGACUUGUAAUACUCAUUUACAGACACUCAAUUUGCUCUAUUCCUAUAGUAAGAUAGGACCUUCGCAUGUAGCACUGGUGAAUCGUUCACAAGAAAUAUACCCCGGCAAGUUUGUUUUCAGAAUUUUUUUUUUUUACUGCAGCAAGUCCUAACAUUAUCAGUAUUUCAAAACAUUCAAAGCAAAGGACCAAGGUUAAAAGAUGAAAAGUUAAUAUAAGCAGAAAGAAUUUGAUUUCCAAGUUACACACAGUAUGAAUAUGCAUUUUCAUGGGAAACUAUGAUUUAAACUCUUGUGAACAUAAAUAUAACUCUGAAAUAUCAAUUAAAGCGUUUAUGGGGCACUGGCUCCACUCUGGACAAGUGUAAUCCUUGUCAUUAAAAGGAAGACAAACACUCUGAAGCCUUCCCCAGAAGUUACACAAAAUAACAAGCCCCUCACUAAUGUGGGGCUAUGCUCUGUAUAGUUCAGCAGCUCUGAACAAUACAAUUGGACGUAUAUCAACAUAUCCAGCUGCAAGGAUCAGCAGGACACACCCUGUGGAUCCAAGAGCAGUAAUCCAGGGGAUGGCAUCAACUUUUGCCUAAAGCUCAGAUAAACUAUUUACUAGUCAGUAAUGAGCAACUAAAACUGCUUGGUUUUUAAAAUGUGUGUGCUUGCCAAGUGGGUAACUUACCUCACUCAAUGCAUCUUUGUACAAGCU